RNA transcript from Thunnus maccoyii (southern bluefin tuna), 8171 nucleotides. It is a transcript of the gene named tudor domain containing 6, with no coding region annotated. The record is from RefSeq and is a predicted model, not a curated record. The transcript has 21 exons. Lineage: Eukaryota; Metazoa; Chordata; Actinopteri; Scombriformes; Scombridae.
GUAGUAACCAGUCGUGCUCUGAGGUUCUUAACCUGACCCCAAGUUUACCUUAACCCCAACCAGUUAUCUCUACUACGCCUAACCAUAACCAUAAGCCCUAACUCUCACUGCGGAGGUGGUUCUACGGAAAACAGAGUUCUAACAGAGGGAACAAUAUUUGAGGGGGGACAGAAUUCGGCAAAACACCUGUUAAAAAAAAAAGGUUUCGGCACGCGCGUGGUUUGGGGCUAGUUAACGUUAGCCGCAAACUAACCGUUACUAACGGUUUGCUGUGGAGUUUGUUGAUUUUGUAGUUACUCUAACAAUAUUUUCCGAAGCAGUUAAACGGAUCAUCUGACACAACAGUGCACACCAGAACAAAAGACCACUGGAGGUGGAACAGGAAUAGUUAGCUAAGCCCGAAAAGUUUAGGCGGAUGGAAAAACGUUAGCGCCGCCGCGACUGUGUGGAUUUGCUGGGCUAACGUUAACGUUCAUUAGGUGAAACUGUUAACCACCAUAAUCGUGGAUUUAAGAAGACUCGGCAGCAAAUAUCGCCACUAAUAAAACGGAUUUCACACUGCAUCAGCUCCUAUCAAGAUUUGUCCAACGUCCACCAUCUCCUAUCUGUGAACAUCUCUGUGAACAUCAAAAAACAAGGCAGACGUGAUAACAUCCAGAGCUCCACACGACUGUGUUGAUGAGAGGUGACAAAUGAUGGGUAGUUAGAAUUCAUGAAACUGCCAAAAUGUCAUCAAUCCUUGGACUCCCGACACAAGGAUCAGAUGUAACAAUCCUCAUAACCAGGGUCCACUUACAUCCCUUUUGUGUGCUUGUGGAGUUCUGGGGGAAAUUUAGCCAGGAGAGGACAGCAGAUUAUCAGUCCCUGGCCAAAGAUAUUCAGUCUCCUGGAAACACAUUUCAAGAGUUUGAGGGAAAUCCUGGUGACCAGUGCUUGGUUCAGAUAGAUGGUACCUGGUAUAGGUCCCGCAUUGUCUCAAGAAAUGGCUCAAAAUACAGUGUGUUCCUCAUUGACAAAGGGAUGACAAAUAACACCAUCACAAGUAUGCUGGCAUGGGGUAAGAAGGAGCACUUCCACCUGCCACCUGAAGUGGAAUUUUGUUUGCUAGCCAAUGUGUUACCUCUCUCACCUGAGAACAGAUGGUCUCCAGUGGCUCUCGAAUUCCUGAAAUCUCUCUCAGGGAAAUCUGUGAAGGCACAUGUGCAAGAUGUACUGGUGUCUCACAGAACAUUCGUUCUGCACAUCCCUUGCAUAUCCAAACAAAUGUAUGAGAUGGGAUUUGCCAAGAAGCUGGCUCCAGACAUGUUCCAGGAUUUUGUACUCAUGUCACUGCAGGCCCAUAGUGGAGCUGAAGUAUCUCCAGAGACUCAGCAAAGCUCCAUGGGGGCAGGUGAGCGACUGCACAAGCAAGAGCUGUACAUGUACCCAGAACUGCCAUCAGGAACUGUGGAGACUGUUAUAGUCACAGAAGUGACAAAUCCACAGCGAAUUUUUUGCCAGUUAAAGGUUUUCUCACGAGAGAUGAAAAAACUCUCAGAGCAAAUCACACAGUGCUUUGAGGGCAGAACGACCAAUUGCAUUGUAGGUCCUGAAAUGAUCGGAUAUCCGUGUGCUGCAAGAGGAAGUGAUGGCAGAUGGUACCGCUCUGUUCUACAACAGGUAUUACCAUCCAAAAAAGUGGUUGAAGUACUGAAUGUUGACUAUGGAACAAAACAGUUUGUUCAAGUGAAGAAUGUAAGACCACUGGCUACAGAGUUUUUCAGGAUGCCUGUUGUGACUUACAUUUGCUCCCUCCAUGGAAUCCUCGACAAAGGGGUUGGAUGGACAACCACCCAGAUCGACUAUCUCAGGACCCUUCUUCUACACAAAACAGUGAUUGCCAAAUUUGAGUACCAAAGCAUCUCUGAAGGUGUUCACUAUGUCACGCUCUAUGGGGAUGAGAACACAAACAUUAACAACUUGUUUGGUUCAAAAGAGAGCUGCUUUCUGGAGUGUGAAAAAACACUUGGAGAUUAUGCCAUUCGAAGUACUGCAUACAGCCGCCAGCAUCCUGCCCAGCAAGAAAAAAAUCAAAAAAAGAUGUUACCUUCUGGACAGGUUGUAGAGGAUAAAGAAGGGAAAGAAAUAGCAGAGAAGUUGCCAGUUGAAGACCUCUCCCUUAACUCCUCACAUGUGGCAUUUGUGCAGCAUGCAUCCAACCCAUCAGAGUUUUGGAUCCAAACACAAAACUAUGCAAAUGAGUUGGAUGAACUGAUGGAUAAUAUUUACCAUCUCUACAAAGAUUCAGCGAACAAAGAUGUGGUGAGAAAUCCAACCGUAGGGCUCUGCUGUGCUGCCAAGGCAGAGGAUGGUGACUUCUACAGAGCAACCGUGUCUGAAGUUGGUGAAAAACAAAUCAAGGUGUUCUUUGUGGAUUAUGGAAACACAGAAGUGGUUGAUAGAAGUAACAUCAGGAUCCUUCCUGAAGAGUUCAGAAAGCUGCCAUGGCUUGCACUGAAAUGCACUUUGGCAGGUGUCAGGCCAAAAGAUGGAAGAUGGAGUCAGGGUGCCAGUGAGUUUUUCAUCAAAGCAGUCACAGAUAAAGUUCUAAAUGUACAUGUGACAGCAAAGUAUGAUGAUGCUUAUGUUGUCGAACUGACAGAUCCUGAGGGACACGGAGAAAGAGAUCUCACUAAGCUGAUGUGUAGCUCGGGCCUUGCUGAAAGGGAUGAGACACAGAAACAACCUAAAGCCAGAAUGGCCAUGCUACCUGCCAUUAUCCCUGCCACACCACAUUCAGAUGUCAGACUCUCAGGUGUAUACAAGAACAGUGGGAUGUCUUUUCAGACCCAAAACACCGUUGGCCCUGCCAGCAAUGAAAGGAGAAUUGCUACAUUCAAGGAGAAUAUGUUUCCCAUCGGAAGUGUCCUUGAUGUCAGUGUGUCGUACAUCGAAAGCCCAAAUGACUUCUGGUGCCAACUAGUACAAAACGCAGGGCACUUGAAAUUGCUCAUGCAUGACAUACAGGCUCAUUAUGCAGGAAGUGAGUUUCAGCCUCUUGUAGAGACGGCAUGUAUUGCUCGCCACCCUGAUAAUGCAAUGUGGUACAGAGCCCUUGUAAUUAACAAACAUGAAACACCUCAUGUAGACGUGUUGUUUGUUGACUACGGCCAGACAGAGACAGUCUCCCUCUAUGACCUGAGGAGGAUCUGCCCAGAAUUCCUCACUCUGCAUGGUCAAGCUUUUCGAUGCAGCCUGUUAAACCCUGUGGACCCAACAUCUGCCAUAAAUGAUUGGAAUGAAGAAGCAAUAGCAAGGUUCCAUGACUUUGUGGCAACUGCUGCAUCCAACUUUGUGAUAUUAAAGUGCACCAUAUACGCUGUCAUGUACAGUGAGCAGAAAAUUGUUUUCAACAUUGUGGAUCUAGAAACUCCCUUUGAGAGUGUCUGCACCAGUAUGGUCAAUCUUGUCAAAAGUGCACCUCCCAAAAAAGUCCCUGGACCAUCUUUCCGUCUGGACACAUACUACUACUCAACACACAACAUCAAAACUGGGACAGAGGAACAGGUCACGGUGACAUGUGUGAACAAUGUCAAUCAGUUCUUCUGCCAGCUCGAGAGGAACACUAAUGUGAUAAAAGAUCUCAAGAUGAAAGUGAACAAUCUCUGUCAUCAGCUUGAGAAUGUAAAGCUUCCAACAGUGUUUGGAACUUUGUGCUUUGCGAAGUUCACCGAUGGGCAGUGGUACAGGGGACAGAUCAAGGCCACAAAGCCAUCAAUCCUGGUUCACUUUGUGGAUUAUGGUGACACUAUUGAGGUGGACAAAUCAGACUUGCUUCCAGUGCCCAGAGAAGCUAAUGACAUCAUGUCUGUGCCUGUGCAAGCAGUUGUGUGUAGUCUCUCUGAUGUCCCUACAGUUGUUCCCAGUGAGGUGAAUAGCUGGUUUGAGACAAGUGCAACAGAAUGUAAAUUCCGAGCGCUAGUAGUGGCAAGAGAGCCUGAUGGAAAACUGCUGGUUGAGCUGUAUCACGGAAACACUCAAAUCAAUUCAAAGAUCAAGAAAAUGUUUCGAAUAGAGAUGCAAAAAGAAGAGCAAAUUGUCUGCCAGGGUCAGAAAGCAUCAAAGGUUUCACCAAAUAAUGCACAAAAGACUCCAAAAGCUGUGCCAAAACAAGCCACAGAAAUGGAUAAUAACAUGCAAACCAUCAAGAAAAAUAACUUCUCCGCCCCAAAACCAGCACAGCAAAUGAGAGAUGAGACAAAAUCUGCGGGUAUAAAUCUGCCGUUUGCAACAAAGCCUUUGAGACAUGGGAAAUGGGAAACAUGUGAAAAUGGUCAGAAGUUCAGACCUGCUCCAUUAGAGCUUUACAGACCUCCACACCAAAGACAGCCGUGUGGGAGUACACAAAGUAAUAUGGGAAAUGGUUCUGAGCCAGCAGAUACCCAUAUCAAACCAAGAGAAGAAAAUCUUCUCACAGUCAGUAAAAGGCUCAUGAAGUCCAAGUCACUUGGUGCAGAAUCUCAGAAGGAAGGCGAUGUGGCUCCAGAAGCCAAAAUCGAAAAACUCCUUAAACUUACAGACCUGCCCGCAAAAUCUAUCACAUCAGGUAUGGAGGCAGAAGUUUAUGUCUCACACUGCAACAGCCCAUUGAGUUUUUAUGUGCAACUUGUCAGAGAGGAGGACGAAAUAUUCUCCCUUGUGGAAAAGCUCAAUGAUCUGCAGUCAACCCCCGAAACAAACAGCAUUAAAGAUAUGCAUCCAGGUGACCUUGUUCAAGCAGAGUUUGCAGAUGAUUCCUCUUGGUACCGAGCAGUUGUAAGAGAAAUUCAUGGCAACACAAUGGCUCUUGUUGAGUUUGUUGAUUUUGGAAAUACAGCAAUGAUGCCAAUUUCCAAGAUGGCCAGACUCCAUAAGUCUUUCUUGCAACUACCCAUGUACAGUACACACUGCAUGCUGAGCGAUGCUGCAGCCCUUGGAAAAGAGGAAAUGCUUGAUCCAGAAGUGGUGGCAGCUUUCAAAAGAGACAUUGGUGGUAAUGGUGAUAAGGAGCUGAAGUGCCGGUUUAUCAGGCAGUCAGGAUCUGUGUGGGAAGUCAGUCUUGAGAACAAUGGUGUUAAAGUGAUGUGUAAAGCACCUACUAGAUGUCCAACUGAUGAUGCUGAAAUCACCCCAGAGAAAUAUAAACAAGUGAUGGAAAAGUCUGUCCAGAACUCAGAACUGCCAGCUGAGAACUCAGGGAAAUCACAAUUGAACAUCUGUUCUCUGUGUUACCACCAACAAGCCUUUCAAGAGGGACAACAGCUAGCGGUUUAUGUCACAACUAUAAAUGAUGCUCAGACCUUUUGGUGUCAGUCUGCUGACUCAGAAAAACUUGAUAAGAUAACAUUAAGUGUCUCAGAAGUUGGGGAUGCAGCAGAUCACAGACAUUUUGACACAGACUGUCUUUCCGCUGGCAGCCCAUGCAUUGCUCUUUUUUCAGAGGAUCGGCUUUGGUAUCGUGGAGAAGUCAUCGACAAAGAUGGAGACGAGCUGUCCAUUCUCUUUGUGGACUAUGGAAACAAGUCCAAAGUCAAAGCAACAGAUCUUAGAGAAAUGCCCCCAGACCUUUUUGAAACUCCACCACAGGCGUUUUUGUGUGAGCUGGAAGGUUUUGAUACUUCACAUGGAUCUUGGGACGCUGGUGCAGUAGAUGAGUUGUCAGUGCUCACAACAGACAAGUUGCUACAGCUGACUGUCAUUAGAGUAAUAAGAGAAGAAAGAAAGAGCAGAUGCAUUGUGCUGCUGGAAUGUGAAGGCAAGGUGAUAAACGAGGCACUGAAAACCUGGUGGAGGAGCUCCAUGCCAGUAAACAAACCUGAUGCAGUUGGACUCUCCACUUCAUGUGAGACACCACUGACAUGUGAUUCAACAGAGAAAGAAACUGUGCCACCUGAGGAUCAAACGCCAGAGGAAACAGAGUAUUCCAAAAUUCAGGAAGUAGACAGUGACAAGCUUGUUGACCUUCACACAACAGAUGAGACCAACAAAUUAGAAAGUAGUCAAAAGAACAGUGAGUGCUCUGAAGAUUCUCAUCAUCCUGAGUCCCCAUUAGAAGAAAGGGAUCAGAUUUUGUCCGAAUGUGAUAUGACUACUGAACCCCAAAUAUUCAGAAUGAUGGAGAGCCUGAUAGAAACUGUUUCUAAUGAAGGGGUGAAAAUAUUCCCCACUAUCGUGAUAUCUCAAACUGAAUCUGAUGAUGUCUUGCCAUCGGAUAGUGGCAUAGAAGACAGCAUGUUACCACCACCUGAUAACAAAGAGGACCACGAUAUUUUGACCUUGAGCUGUAUCAAGAAUGUGGUGGAAACUGACUCUGAAGAGGAGGGUGCUUCAGCGAUGGGCACUAUUGAGCCAGAUGAAUCAAACUCUCCAUCAGAUGAGAACCUUCAGAAGGCAGUGGAUGAGUCUGAGGUCGCAAAGACUGGCUUAAAGCCUCCACAUGAAGAGGGGAAGAUCUACAACAUGGAAGGCAGUGCCGACGUGAUUUAUUCUGAUUCAAAUGAAGAAAGAGAUGAUGGCAAGGUCACCACUGCAAGGGAGAGUUCUGUUACCAGUGUGACAGUAGUAAAAAUGGUUCCCCGCAAAGCUGUUCACAGGCAGAACAUUGAUCUGCAUGAGACAAUUGCUAUGACAUCUGAAGACUCAAAGCAGUUUGAGAGUGACUCUGUGCUGCCCUCCUGUGUGCUUCCUGCACAGCAGUUUGAUGCUCCCACAAAGCAGGAAAUUGAAGCUGGAGAUGGUGUCCCACAGGAAGAGGUCCCACGUGUUACUGCCAAUGUCAAGAAUAACCUGAUGACUGAAGAGGAGAACUCAACUCAUCACGAGGAUAGAUAUUCAGCCCUGCUAGCUGACACUGGUACAGCCGCCAGUGAGACACACACCUACACAUCUCCAUCUGCAGAUCAGGGUGACGUGGUUGAAGAGGCGGCCUGCUCUGUUGAAGAGGCCUGUUUGAUCUGUACAGAUAUAAAUGAGGGAAAUGAUGACAGAGAGGUGGUUGCGAGAGAUGAUUGUCUCAGCGGUGUGUCAGCAGAGGAAACGGUUUCCCAGGAAGAUGGUAGUCCUGAGGUAAAAGUCAACCUGCAUAAAACAAUUGCUGAAGAAUCAAAUCAGGUUCAGAAUGAAUCACUGUUUCUUUGUGGGGAGCUUCUUCAUGAACAGUUAAUUGAGCACCAAAGGGAAAGUGGAGACAUUUCCCUACAAGAGGAAGCACCAUGCACAUCUGCACAUAACAAGGAUAACAUGAUUAAUGAAGAAGAUACAUCGAUUCUUCAUGAAGCCCUUCCAUCUGACACGCAGCCAAAAACCCACACAGUUCCCUAUCCGGAUAUGAGUCACCUGGUUGAAGAGGUGACCUGUCUUGUCGGAGAGAUCUGUUUGAUGGACGUCUGCAGAGAUGAACAGCAGCUCGAUCAACAACCAAAUGCGCCAGCCGUGCUCGAUCAGAUAAGAGAAGGUGAAACAGAGGAUGAUGAGCAGCUGGUACAUACACCUCUGAAACAAAACAAGGAUUUUAACGAUGGCGUGCUCGCUGAAGAAACGUCGUCGUCUGCUGACAGUUUUGAGGCCCAGCUGUCAAAGAUAACUCAUCUGUCUCUUAUCAUCAAUGAUGGUUCUGCUGACACUCUGGGCGUCAAGCAGCAGCCGGAGGAGUGACAGUCUUCUGUUUCCUUCGUGAGAAAUGCUUCAGAUGGAUGUUUAUCAACUUAAGUUUAAUAUGUCAAACAGGUUUUAGUUCAGUAUUAUUUAUGUUCAUACUUUUGUUUUUUAAUGGGUUGACCCAGCAGGUCCUCUUUGUCCUUUGACUUAAUGGAUAAUUUAAUUGUUCGUAUUUAAAAAAACAAACAAAAAACAACCAUCUGGUUAAAGUGCGUUUGUACAGAAAUAGUUGUGGGAAAGUAGGAGUUGUCUAUAUCUUUGUGCUCACUAAGUGUUACCUGGAGCACUGUUGUGUUAGAUAUAAUCUGCUGCAUAAUUCUUUGGAAACAAUAUCUGAGUACCGAAUCUUUUGUUAAAUAUUAAAGAGUUAAAAGCUCACGUCUGGUGAAAUGCUACAGUUUAAGACUUAAAGAAAGUUUUCUGUAUUUGGUGUGGAAAUAUGCGUGCGUUUAAGAUAAAUUUAUGUUGGCACAAUAAAUAUCAUUACAGAUCUAUAA